GGCUUGAAAGGUGUUGGCGGGCGGUAGAUGGGGCGAAAAGAUAAAGGACAGGUACUGAAAACGAU
Molecule: non-coding RNA, 65 nt
Organism: Caenorhabditis elegans
Lineage: Eukaryota; Metazoa; Nematoda; Chromadorea; Rhabditida; Rhabditidae
Source: Ensembl